CAGUCGCCGCGGUAAUACGAAGGGUGCAAGCGUUACUCGGAAUUACUGGGCGUAAAGCGUGCGUAGGCGGCUUUUUAAGUCAGAGGUGAAAGCCCGGGGCUCAACCCCGGAAUUGCCUUUGAAACUGGAAAGCUAGAAUCUUGGAGAGGUCAGUGGAAUUCCGAGUGUAGAGGUGAAAUUCGUAGAUAUUCGGAAGAACACCAGUGGCGAAGGCGACUGACUGGACAAGUAUUGACGCUGAGGUGCGAAAGCGUGGGGAGCAAACAGGAUUAGAUACCCCCGUAGUCCCUGUCUCUUAUAC
Molecule: ribosomal RNA, 301 nt
Filed under: uncultured bacterium
Lineage: Bacteria
Description: partial 16S ribosomal RNA
Rfam family: Bacterial small subunit ribosomal RNA
Source: RNAcentral